UCUGCCACAACAGAACGAACAGACCAGAUGAAAUUGAUGACUCUUUCUGUGCCUCUUUAUAUGCUUACAUCUAAAUCAAUCCUGUUGUAUAGAAACUGAAGAUUUAUGCAUUCAUAUAGAAAGCAGAAUCUCCAAGAAGGACCAUGGCGUCUGCUGGGGACCUAAGCCCAUCCACCCUACCUCUCGGAGAGAGGUUCAGCCUUGUAUCCAACCCGCAAACAUAAAGCAGGGAAAGAAAAUUACCAAAUUAGCAGAUUGCUGUCUCAAGAAUAUAAAACAACAUUGUAUAUGGGAAGGAUUUUUUGAGGUCGGAAAAUCGUCACUUCCUAAGAAACG
This is a long non-coding RNA of Suricata suricatta (meerkat), 336 nucleotides long. RefSeq lists it as uncharacterized. Lineage: Eukaryota; Metazoa; Chordata; Mammalia; Carnivora; Herpestidae. The record is from RefSeq and is a predicted model, not a curated record. The transcript has 3 exons.